CCUACGGGAGGCAGCAGUGAGGAAUAUUGGUCAAUGGACGAGAGUCUGAACCAGCCAAGUAGCGUGAAGGAUGACUGCCCUAUGGGUUGUAAACUUCUUUUAUAUGGGAAUAAAAUGUUCCACGUGUGGGAUUUUGUAUGUACCAUAUGAAUAAGGAUCGGCUAACUCCGUGCCAGCAGCCGCGGUAAUACGGAGGGUCCGAGCGUUAUCCGGAUUUAUUGGGUUUAAAGGGAGCGUAGGUGGACUGUUAAGUCAGUUGUGAAAGUUUGCGGCUCAACCGUAAAAUUGCAGUUGAAACUGGCAGGCUUGAGUACAGUAGAGGUGGGCGGAAUUCGUGGUGUAGCGGUGAAAUGCUUAGAUAUCACGAAGAACUCCGAUUGCGAAGGCAGCUCACUGGACUGCAACUGACACUGAGGCUCGAAAGUGUGGGUAUCAAACAGGAUUAGAUACCCUGGUAGUC
Molecule: ribosomal RNA, 460 nt
Filed under: uncultured bacterium
Lineage: Bacteria
Description: partial 16S ribosomal RNA
Rfam family: Bacterial small subunit ribosomal RNA
Source: RNAcentral